AUUGAACGCUGGCGGCAUGCCUUACACAUGCAAGUCGAACGGUAACAGGUCUUCGGAUGCUGACGAGUGGCGAACGGGUGAGUAAUACAUCGGAACGUGCCCGAUCGUGGGGAUAACGGAGCGAAAGCUUUGCUAAUACCGCAUACGAUCUACGGAUGAAAGCAGGGGACCGCAAGGCCUUGCGCGGACGGAGCGGCCGAUGGCAGAUUAGGUAGUUGGUGGGAUAAAAGCUUACUAAGCCGACGAUCUGCAGCUGGUCUGAGAGGACGACCAGCCACACUGGGACUGAGACACGGCCCAGACUCCUACGGGAGGCAGCAGUGGGGAAUUUUGGACAAUGGGCGCAANCCUGAUCCAGCCAUGCCGCGUGCAGGAUGAAGGCCUCGGGUUGUAAACUGCUUUUUGUACGGAACGAAAAGACUCUGGUUAUACCUGGGUCCAUGACGGUACCGUAAGAAUAAGCACCGGCUAACUACGUGCCAGCAGCCGCGGUAAUACGUAGGGUGCAAGCGUUAAUCGGAAUUACUGGGCGUAAAGCGUGCGCAGGCGGUGAUGUAAGACAGAUGUGAAAUCCCCGGGCUCAACCUGGGAACUGCAUUUGUGACUGCAUCGCUGGAGUACGGCAGAGGGGGAUGGAAUUCCGCGUGUAGCAGUGAAAUGCGUAGAUAUGCGGAGGAACACCGAUGGCGAAGGCAAUCCCCUGGGCCUGUACUGACGCUCAUGCA
This 725-nucleotide ribosomal RNA is filed under the name uncultured bacterium. Its description in RNAcentral is "bacterial SSU rRNA". It matches the Rfam family "Bacterial small subunit ribosomal RNA", at positions 28 to 753 of the family's 1533-position model. The record is from RNAcentral.